Transfer RNA from Pseudogymnoascus pannorum, 87 nucleotides. It matches the Rfam family "tRNA". Rfam says of the family: Transfer RNA (tRNA) molecules are approximately 80 nucleotides in length. Their secondary structure includes four short double-helical elements and three loops (D, anti-codon, and T loops). NCBI's taxonomy places the organism in Eukaryota, Fungi, Ascomycota, Leotiomycetes, Thelebolales, Thelebolaceae. The record is from Rfam.
UCCCUCGUGGCGCAAUUGGCUAGCGCGUUCGACUGUUAGCAAGAUUCUGUUAUCGAGAGGUUGGUGGUUCGAGCCCACCCGAGGGAG